RNAcentral lists this ribosomal RNA (440 nucleotides) under uncultured bacterium. RNAcentral describes it as "partial 16S ribosomal RNA". It matches the Rfam family "Bacterial small subunit ribosomal RNA", at positions 338 to 795 of the family's 1533-position model. The record is from RNAcentral.
CCUACGGGUGGCAGCAGUGGGGAAUAUUGCACAAUGGGCGAGACCCUGAUCCAGCGACGUCGCGUGAGUGAUGAAUUCUUUCGGGAUUGAAAGCUCUAUCAGCAGGGAAGAAAAUGACGGUACCUGAUUAUGAAGCUCUGGCUAACUACGUUCCAGCAGCAGUGGUAAUACGUAGGGGGCAAGCGUUAUCCGGAUUUACUGGGGGUAAAGGGAGCGUAGACGGCGGCACAAGGCUGGAGUGAAAUGCUGGGGCUUAACGCGGGAACUGCUUUGGAAACUGUGCAGCUUGAGUACAGGGGAGGUAAGUGGAAUUCGUAGUGUAGCGGUGAAAUGCGUAGAUAUUAGGAAGAACACCAGUGGCGAAGGCGGCCUACUGAACUGUAACUGACGUUGAGGCUCGAAAGCGUGGGGAGCAAACAGGAUUAGAUACCCGGGUAGUC